This 216-nucleotide long non-coding RNA is filed under the name Helianthus annuus (common sunflower). RNAcentral describes it as "sRNA HanXRQr2_Chr13g0608091". Lineage: Eukaryota; Viridiplantae; Streptophyta; Magnoliopsida; Asterales; Asteraceae. The record is from RNAcentral.
GCUCUCCAUGUCAUGUACGACAGGUACAAAGGGCCAACACUGUCAGGAAAUCCUUCCAGAACCAUAUAAGAUCGUGUAAAAGACAUCAAUUCCUGCAAUGCACAUCUAAGUUAUCCACAAAAAUAUCUAUAUUGUCCAGUAUAAGGCACUAACAUUCUCACAUGUAUAGACACAUUUUCAGAUUUUUUUAGUUAUCAAUAUUUGUCACUGUGCUUC